GGACCUAGGUGCUAUCAGAUUCGCAAUAGACAUGCAAGUGUAAUGUCUCUUCGGAGGCAUCGCGAAAGGCUCAGUAACACGUCGCCAAUCUGCCCUAUGGACGGGGAUAAACUCGGGAAACUGAGACUAAUACCCGAUAGGUAUGGAAUCCUGGAAGGGGCUAAUACCUAAAGGGUCUUCGGAUCGCCAUAGGAUGAGGCCGCGGUCGAUUAGCUAGUAAGUGAUGUAAAGGAUCACUUAGGCGAUGAUCGGUAGGGGCUAUGAGAGUAGGCGCCCCGAGAAGGACACUGAGACACUGGUCCUAGCACUACGGUGUGCAGCAGUUAGGAAUUGUGCCCAAUGCGCGAAAGCGUGAGACCGCGAAUCUGAGUGCUAGGGAAAACCCUAGCUGUGAUGGAGUAUUCAUAGCUCCAACAGCAAGCAGAGGGCAAGGCUGGUGC
Molecule: ribosomal RNA, 440 nt
Filed under: uncultured archaeon
Lineage: Archaea
Description: bacterial SSU rRNA
Rfam family: Archaeal small subunit ribosomal RNA
Source: RNAcentral